RNAcentral lists this ribosomal RNA (244 nucleotides) under uncultured bacterium. Its description in RNAcentral is "partial 16S ribosomal RNA". It matches the Rfam family "Bacterial small subunit ribosomal RNA", at positions 528 to 772 of the family's 1533-position model. The record is from RNAcentral.
UAGGGGGCGAGCGUUAUCCGGAUUCAUUGGGCGUAAAGCGCGCGCAGGCGGCCGCCUAAGCGGGACCUCUAAUCCUGGGGCUCAACCUCAGGCCGGGUCCCGAACUGGGCGGCUCGGGUGCGGUAGGGGUAGGCGGAAUUCCCGGUGUAGCGGUGGAAUGCGCAGAUAUCGGGAAGAACACCGACGGCGAAGGCAGCCUACUGGGCCGCCACCGACGCUGAGGCGCGAAAGCUAGGGGAGCGAA